AGUGGGGAAUAUUGCACAAUGGGCGCAAGCCUGAUGCAGCCAUGCCGCGUGUGUGAAGAAGGCCUUCGGGUUGUAAAGCACUUUCAGUUGUGAGGAAGGUUGUGUGGUUAAUACCCACAUAAUUUGACGUUAGCAACAGAAGAAGCACCGGCUAACUCCGUGCCAGCAGCCGCGGUAAUACGGAGGGUGCGAGCGUUAAUCGGAAUUACUGGGCGUAAAGCGUACGCAGGCGGCUAAUUAAGCCAGAUGUGAAAUCCCCGGGCUUAACCUGGGAAUGGCAUUUGGAACUGGUUAGCUAGAGUUUUGUAGAGGGUGGUAGAAUUUCAGGUGUAGCGGUGAAAUGCGUAGAGAUCUGAAGGAAUACCAGUGGCGAAGGCGGCCACCUGGACAAGAACUGACGCUCAUGUACGAAAGCGUGGGGAGCAAA
This 427-nucleotide ribosomal RNA is filed under the name uncultured Aliagarivorans sp. Its description in RNAcentral is "bacterial SSU rRNA". It matches the Rfam family "Bacterial small subunit ribosomal RNA", at positions 353 to 772 of the family's 1533-position model. The record is from RNAcentral. Lineage: Bacteria; Pseudomonadati; Pseudomonadota; Gammaproteobacteria; Alteromonadales; Alteromonadaceae.